Molecule: ribosomal RNA, 758 nt
Filed under: Exiguobacterium acetylicum
Lineage: Bacteria; Bacillati; Bacillota; Bacilli; Caryophanales
Description: bacterial SSU rRNA
Rfam family: Bacterial small subunit ribosomal RNA
Source: RNAcentral
UGGCUCAGGACGAACGCUGGCGGCGUGCCUAAUACAUGCAAGUCGAGCGCAGGAAGCUGACGGAACUCUUCGGAGGGAAGGCAGUGGAAUGAGCGGCGGACGGGUGAGUAACACGUAAGGAACCUGCCUCAAGGAUUGGGAUAACUCCGAGAAAUCGGAGCUAAUACCGGAUAGUUCAUCGGACCGCAUGGUCCGCUGAUGAAAGGCGCUCCGGCGUCACCUUGAGAUGGCCUUGCGGUGCAUUAGCUAGUUGGUGGGGUAACGGCCCACCAAGGCGACGAUGCAUAGCCGACCUGAGAGGGUGAUCGGCCACACUGGGACUGAGACACGGCCCAGACUCCUACGGGAGGCAGCAGUAGGGAAUCUUCCACAAUGGACGAAAGUCUGAUGGAGCAACGCCGCGUGAGUGAUGAAGGUUUUCGGAUCGUAAAACUCUGUUGUAAGGGAAGAACACGUACGAGAGGGAAUGCUCGUACCUUGACGGUACCUUACGAGAAAGCCACGGCUAACUACGUGCCAGCAGCCGCGGUAAUACGUAGGUGGCAAGCGUUGUCCGGAAUUAUUGGGCGUAAAGCGCGCGCAGGCGGCCUUUUAAGUCUGAUGUGAAAGCCCCCGGCUCAACCGGGGAGGGCCAUUGGAAACUGGAAGGCUUGAGUACAGAAGAGAAGAGUGGAAUUCCACGUGUAGCGGUGAAAUGCGUAGAGAUGUGGAGGAACACCAGUGGCGAAGGCGACUCUUUGGUCUGUAACUGACGCUGA